UGAGCAAUCUGCCCUUCACAUCGGAAUAACCAUUGGAAACGAUGGCUAAUACCGAAUAUGACUUCGGAUCGCAUGAUCUGAAGUGGAAAGCUCCGGCGGUGAAGGAUGAGCUCGCGGCCCAUCAGCUUGUUGGUGAGGUAAUAGCUCACCAAGGCGAUGACGGGUAGCCGGCCUGAGAGGGUGACCGGCCACACUGGGACUGAGACACGGCAGA
This 214-nucleotide ribosomal RNA is filed under the name uncultured bacterium. RNAcentral's name for it is "partial 16S ribosomal RNA". It matches the Rfam family "Bacterial small subunit ribosomal RNA", at positions 118 to 335 of the family's 1533-position model. The record is from RNAcentral.